UCGCCGUUCAUCAUGCGUGAGCAUGUUUUUGACUCAAAUCAAAGCGUGCUUAUGUGAGUCAUGGAGCCAAACCCUAAACAAUUGUUUUGAAGCUCGAAAGGAGUGUUGAAAAGACGACUGCAUCUAUCGGCACUCCGGUUCAAAAGGCAAGCAGCUCCUCUGCGCCGCUGUAAAACACACGGUUACGCGUCGUGCAGGCGCCAUGAGAGAAAUGUUGUUUGGCGUUUGACUGGGCGGCGCCUCAAGUCGGGAACGGAGAGCACAUUGAAACAAAACUAUUUCCACUUCCUGUUUAAAGUCACACAAGGCACAGUGAGGGAGAGCCGAGCAAGCCAACGAGAGAGCGAGAGAGAGCCCAGUGGUUCAGACAGAUGUGCCACUCUUGCGUAAGAUGCUUUCAAUGGAUGUCACCAUAGCAGCCAACGGACAAUUUAUGUACAAGAUGAACCUGGCUUUGGUGUCUUGCUUGUCUUUGACGACAAGCGAGGGAUGACUGUCGAUUGUUCAAGGGACUUCCCGCAGGCCUCACACAAUGGCCCGGAGGAGAUACUCGGACUCUUAUAUACACUGCUGUUUAUAUCACACACAUGCGCGAGCACACGCACGCUUCCUUAAUGAAGAAAGCAAGCUGGAAUUCAGGAAGGUCCAUUUUUGGCAGCAAGAGAACAGAGGUGGCAGGCCGUUGUCCAGUAUUGUGUAUGCGCAGGAAGGGUGUCGCGCGGAUGUCGAGGCAUUGGAUCAUUGUUGUCUCCUGUCGCUCAAAUUCUGCCUCAUAUGUGCUCCUCUUAUGCAACGCGCCCGGCGUCCCAUCCGUUUUGGUCUACACGUGGCCAGCCGCCAAGCGGCGACCCGUCUGUUGUCUCAAUCCGCUCGGACAUUGAUCGGUGACCAGCGCAGGCAUCGUUAAACUGAUGGGACAUUGUGAUUUUCCAGGAAUGUUUUAGAAGUCAUCAUUGGAAAAUGGAAAUAUCGGCAGACACUUGGGUCGCAAGUUGGCAUUUUCGGUGAUUGUCAGUGAGGUCAUUAACAUGGUGGCCCUUUGCUCUCAACAAUAGCCAAGCGGGAGCUCGCAGUUUGUGCGCCAUCGGCUGGCAACCGGUCCACCUCUCGGCCAAAUUCACACGGGAUGGACCCGACAUGUAUGGAAAAAUCGGCUGUUCUUGGUGAUGGCGUUCGUGAAUGGCGGCAAUCUGAUGUUCCAGAGCUGGCGCUCGGAGAUACAAUCUCCUGAUCUGAUCUGCCUACACCCCUCCAUGAGUUAACCUAACAACCCGUGGACCGGCUGUAGCCUCCCUCGUCGAUUUUCUGACAUCUGCAUGUCAACGAACCCACCGGGGCAGACGUAGGAGCGCUGCAGCCGCUGCCACUGCCGUUGCCACCGCCGUUGCCACCGUCGUUGCCACCGCCGUUGUCACCCCCGUUGCCACCGCCGUUGCCACCGCCGUUGCUGCCACAAGCCAUUGCUCCAGCCGGAAGCUUGUUUUGGAUCUCGUUGUGUCCGCCAAGUGUCGAGCUCAUGCAUGACAUCAAGACUGGAUAAAACAAGCACCGGGUUCAGGACGGCGCCUGUCAUUGAUGGCUUUUUUUCACCAAUCAAAAGCGGCAAGUUCCCUCUUGCUGCUGGAUUCUUGGCACCUUUCGAGUUGUUUUUUGUGAGCGGCUGUGUUUUAACACACACACACGCACACACACCUUGACGUGUUAAUUCAUGGACACUGGAUUGAACGCCACUAACUGAUGCCAAAAACACCCUCCCUGCAGCCGUGAAGAGAAUCAAACAACAAAGCCUCUUUCCAACGCAAUGCCUCCCAACUUUUUGCCACCAUCGAGUAGAGUUGUCACAAGAACCGAUACUUCCGGUACCAGUUCGGUACCAACACGCAAAAAAUAUGUCGAUACUUGCUUCUCGGGGUACAGAAUAUUUAACUUUUCACUCAGCGAGCUGUGUCAAUUCUUGCCGGAACUGAAGGGGGCAGUAUACACAUACGAGCAGCACGGAGCAGCAGUCAACGGCGCUGAAGAAGAAGAAAACCUUCGGUCAUUCAUAACAAUGGAUUCAGCAAGUGGGAGUGGAAGUCCAACACGACAGCUUGUUGAGAAUUCAGGUCGCUCAAAGAGUUGUGUGUGGAAAUAUUUUGCAUUCGAGGCAGAUCCAACCAGAGCAAUUAUAGAUUUGUCUGUGACUAUCAUUGUUGUGCCACGUUACGUUGUAAAUAUGUUAACCCGAACAUGCCUAUGUGCCGUCAUUUCGGCAUAAGUCAGCUGGGCCGAUACGGUUACCAAACGUAUUUAAUGUCAAACACAUAGACAAAGUGCGCAGACAAAGGCUCAAAUAUGCAAAAUUACGUUUGGGCACAUGUUGAGGGUGUGCGCGCAAGCCUUUUGGCUAUAGCAGAUGGAUUAGUGAUUUUAAAAGUAUAGGUUCUGUUUUUUUGUUGUUUUUCCCGUGGUACCGAAUUAGUAUCGAGAAUCGUGAAAAAUCACAGGUAUUGUAACUACUGAAAUUCUGGUAUUGUGACAACCCUACCAUCGAGUUUUCAAGAAAAGGUCGGAAACACAUGCGGACAGUGAGAUGUUCAACAAGAAGUCGUCCGGUUCAGUCGGGUUUAGCAGCUCCAUCAGAUAUGUGCGUAAACUUGCAUGAACUCGAAGAACCUCGUGAACUCCAACCGAGGGGAAGUCCAAAUACAGGAGAAAUAAGUCUCCAACAUUCCAACGCAAAUCACCAAAGCAUCCCAGUCAACAGCAAUUCCGAUUUACUUUCUGAUUUACACUUUGAUUGAUUGCCCCCUGCUGAUACAACGUCAAAGGGCGAUGGCCUUGUUUGCAACGAGCAGCACACACAAGUAGACCAAAUUUGCACAUAUCGUCAGGGAAGUCACACAAGGAGCCGUUGCAAUGUUGAGCCAGAUGGUUCUCAACACGGAUGUAGAUGUGUUGUGUGUGCGUGAGCGCGCGUGCUGUUGAGAAGGCUUUGCUGUCAAAGUGUCAUCAGGAUGUCAUGGAAAAAUAUCUCUCCAAGAUCAACAGCAAACAGGAAACGUCCUCAAUUCAACUUGAUUGCUGCGUGCGUACGUGCGUGCGUGUGUGCGUGUACGUGGAAGGCGAUUUCCCAUACGCUGGCCUGCAUUUGCAUCAAGUGCUGGUUCCUGGUGGACCAAGCUAAGUGAGCCAUCCUCUCGUUGCUCGAAUGGUCCCUCUGUCAGCGAAUCAAAAAUCGCACGCUGGCUUCUUGGUUUUGUUCCGUAGUUUUCUGCAAUAUUCAUGUAGAGCAAAUUAACUAAUUUCCAAAAUGAAAUUCAGGGUAGCUGCUUUUGUUCAGAUCAUCUGAAAAUGCUGGCGGCGGUCGUGCGAUUUGCCAGCCUCUGGCGGUUACCGAUGCGCUUGAGUCGCUUCCUUGUGACUCUGACCGACGCAGCAGGUUCUUCCAACGGCUGCUUUUGUUCAGCUCGCUUUGCUGAUGCAGCAAUUGUCACCCCCGACAGCCGCCACUCAGAGUUUCUGACAUCACGCACACAUCGUAAACGCAUACUAUGAAGCGAUGAGUUAUGAACUUCACGUUUUCUUUUUCUCAUGGACCAGUAAGACAAGUGAAUGCCAUGCGUGCGUGGGGAAUGUGAGAAAGGUGAACUCUGAAACAGAUCUCGCCAUGAGUGUCAACUGAAUUUCUGUAAUAGUGUGCAACUAAUCACCUCGAAUGGAUUUGCCGAGCUUCUUAGGAAUGCUGGCUGAUCAAAUCAAACUCCAUUUCUUCGUAUGAGCAGUAUGUAAAAAACGAUUGUCUUUGCCGUGGAGCUGGACUCCAAAUCUUCUGGCUGAGUUCAAGUAGCAAUGUGUGGCCAUCAUAGGUUUUUAGCUAGCGCUUUUAAGGAGGAUGCAAUGGAAAAAACAGAAAGAGAUGUUUCCUCAGCAUGUGAGCGCGGCGGCCCCGCCUCUCCGCCUAGGGCUUGUCCAGGCGGCUGAAGGGCGGCAGUGGCAAUGUUGACAUUUUUCUUGCAAUCAACCAUCAAGUGCCGAGCGGCCACAUUCAGCAUCGACUCUGUCGUCUCUCAACACGUCAACUCUUAUCUCCUGUGCUCGAGUGCCCCUCCUUCUCCUCCUCCUCCCGCCACUGUCGCCUGGUAACCUGGGGGGCAUGCAUUCUACCGAAAACCGAUGCCAACUUUCACCGCCUAAUCGUGACACAAAGAAUAUUUUCGGCAUUGGCAGCACACGGUUGAAUUCCGCUUGACGAAUAUACACGUCCAUGGCAGUGAAUGAGUUAAAAGUAUUUCUUUUUCCAUCCCCACUGAUGUGCACUACUGCAUUGUUUUGUUUUUAAAUAUUCAAUAUUUUACUGUUUGUUGUUAUUGUAAAGUUCUGCUGUUUCUUCAGUCGGGCCUUUUGUUUGGCUCCACUGCAAGCAUGAAUUAAUAAAGUCAAAUCAAAAUUAUGGGUACGAA
Long non-coding RNA from Syngnathus typhle (broad-nosed pipefish), 4442 nucleotides. RefSeq lists it as uncharacterized. The record is from RefSeq and is a predicted model, not a curated record. The transcript has 2 exons. Lineage: Eukaryota; Metazoa; Chordata; Actinopteri; Syngnathiformes; Syngnathidae.